This 2342-nucleotide long non-coding RNA is filed under the name Citrus x clementina. RNAcentral's name for it is "Citrus clementina (C. clementina) long non-coding RNA (CCLE_LNC003929)". The record is from RNAcentral. Lineage: Eukaryota; Viridiplantae; Streptophyta; Magnoliopsida; Sapindales; Rutaceae.
UAAUUAAUAAGGAUGAUUUUGGAUUUUUAUAAAAUACAUGAGGAUAUUUAUGAAAUUGUAUUAAGUAUAAAAUUGAAUCUCAAAAUCAAAUUUUAAAAUUUGCUAUAGAAUGAGCCUCUCAAAAGUAAUCCCAAGCAAGAUUUUAUAAUUGUGACAAGAAUUUCAAACACUAAUAUGGUAAAUAAAAAAAAGUUAAGCAUACAUUUAUCAUUAUACACGUUUAACAUUUUUUUUCUAAUUAUUUCAUUAUAUAAAAUAGUUUUAUAUACUCAAAAUCUAAAUAUUUCGGUCCAUAUAUAUCUACACAAAUAUUAGAAUAUAUAUAUAAAAAAAAAAAACUAAGUACCGUGUAAUAAAAAUGAGUGAACAUAACUUGAUUAGGAGUUUGAAAUCAGUAAUCAACUUGUUGAUCGUGUCAUAAACACAUUACAACUAGUGUUAGAGAAUUUUAAACUCAAACUCGACACAAUUGUUAAACACGUGACAUAUUUAACUCAAUUAAUAAUUUGUAUCCGUUUUAUGUCAAUUAAAACUCGCAAACUUUGUAUUGUAUUGAUACCAAGUUGAUGGGUCGCAUUACAAAUUGUCAACCCCUAAUUACAUAAUAUAAAUGUCUUACUGUGUUAUUUUAUUAAGAAGGACAUCGCUAUCUACACUUUUUUGAAUGGGAGGACACAAUUUUGGUCAUCAUUUAUGAGGACUUGGACUCUUCUACCCGAACGUUGGGCAGAGGUGCCUUUAUGAAGCCGCCAUGGAGCAGUAUAAUGUAUGUGACUGAUGCAUUUUUUUGUUCAAUAACUUUAUACUUGUAGAAUUAAUUAUACGUAAAGUCUGCAUAAUAAUAAUAAUCCACGCAACAGCUAUAAAUAAAUUAACCAUGAGUCCAUUCCAUCGUUGACUAUUCAAUGAUUCUAUUAUUAAAAAGGAUAAUUCCGUUGGACUGGUAGGUUACGGCACUCGGAUAAUUUAGAAAUUAUAAAUUAUAUUUAUUAAUUUUUUAAAUUAUAUUAUACAUAAAAUUAUUAUUAAUAUUUCAUCAGAUAUUAUAAUUAAUAUUUAUAUUAGAUUAUAUAAUUAAAAUGUAUGUUUUAAAAUAUUAUCUAAAUUUUUUAAAUUCUCUUUAAUAUUUGAAAGGAUAAUUAUUUUAUUUAUAUUUUAUAAAAAAUAAUCCGUCGCUAUUUAAUUAUUUAGUAAUCGAAGAAGAGCCGGAACUACUCUCAUAAAGAUUUUAUGAACUCUUCUUCUCGUUAUUUGUAAUUGCAAGGCUGGAUAGGUAUCAAUCACUUGUUAUGACGUGGGAACCUUUGCAGUUUACACGCGACCCUACAAUAGGGCUAUAAUUGACAAUUACACGUAGGACACAUUUUUUGGUCUUUCUUUUUAUUUGAGAAAGUCAGCACCUAGAAUUUGCUGGAACUGCCACAUAAUAAUACUAUACAUUAUUAGAGCCUCAGAGGGACCACGUCAACUUUCGUUAGUGUGUGUGUGUCUAUCGAAUCAUUUAUUAACCUCACAUGUACGCAGACUUAGGUUUUGGUGCCUUUGUUUGGAGAUCCACCGCAGGCUGGCUCCACACUUUCUCUGCGGAUUGUUAAUGUGGUUGUUGAAGAAUUAAAUUUGGUCAUAAUUAGUUUUAACCAACGGGACAACGACCCCCGCUCUCAUCUGCCUAGCAUAAAUGACGCCACUACUGUUUCGACAACCAUGAGAAAGUGAUCCGGUCAGGAAGAUUUAAAACUCGCAUUCCCACUCUCCACUUCCUUAAUUUCAAGUCCAAGUGCAUCGCCCUUAAAAUCGAAUUCAUCUUUACGGCUCAUAUCACUAUUAUUGUGUGACUUGUAGCAGUUGCUUGGCUGGAAGCAGCAGGCAACUUAAUCCCUGCUGCUUCUUCGUUUUUCAUUUGAAUAAAUUAAGCACGGAGCAGAGGCCAACAACCAAUUUACAACGCAGUCCAAAAAAGUUUAGUCAAGACUGUGAUUUAAUGGUAAUGACGUUGAUCGAUGAUGCUUCCCGUCCUGUCAAAGCUGAACCCCACCCGUAAAUUUUGAAUAUUCACUUUUAAAAUGUGAUGCCACGUGCGUGCGUAUGUGGAUUGGACUGACCAAUACUUUGACGUUCAUAUUGGUUUAGGACCAUUCAUAAUUCUGACUUAAAUCGUUUCCAUUAAUAUCGAUUUUUCUAGAGGAAUAAUCAGCCACUUAAAGCAAAGGAAUAAUUGCCUUUCUUGCACGGAAGCACGGAUAUUCCAGGAUUAAAAUCCUAGCCUAACUCCGACGCCAGGGAUUGGCAUCUAUUCCUAAGAAAAAUUAACUAAUCACAACCGCUUAUAUAAUAAUUAUAAU